CUGGUCAGUCAUAAAAUGGAAUUAAAUCCUGUCAUUCAUGGCAACAUGCAUUGAACUAGAGGACAUUAUGUUAAGUGAAAUAAGCCAGAAACAGAAAAUUAAACAGCACGUAGUCUCGUUCAUAUGUGGAAGCU
Molecule: long non-coding RNA, 134 nt
Organism: Sapajus apella (tufted capuchin)
Lineage: Eukaryota; Metazoa; Chordata; Mammalia; Primates; Cebidae
Exons: 3
Source: RefSeq, a predicted model, not a curated record